This 664-nucleotide long non-coding RNA is filed under the name Malus domestica (apple). RNAcentral describes it as "long non-coding RNA (MDOM_LNC006186)". Lineage: Eukaryota; Viridiplantae; Streptophyta; Magnoliopsida; Rosales; Rosaceae. The record is from RNAcentral.
AGCUCUUGUUGUUGGCACCAUAAAUUGGUUUUGCUUCAUAUUGUCUUGAUCAAGAGUGUGUGAAGCUUUUGAUAAUUGUGGUUGCCUUCUAUUGAUGAAGCUCUUGUUAGCACCAUAAAUUGGUUUUGCUUCAUACUGUCUUGAUCAAGAGUGUGUGAAGCUUUUGAGAAUUGUGGUUGAACUUCUUUGAUGAAGUUCUUGUUGGCACCAUAAAUUGGUUUUGCUUCACACUAUCUUGAUUAAGAGUGUGUGAAGCUUUUGAGAAUUAUGGUUGCCCUCCAUUGAUGAAGCUUUUAUUGGCACCAUAAAUUGGUUUUGCUUCACACUGUCUUAAUCACAAGUGUGUCAAGCUUUUAAAAAUUGUGGUUGAACUCCUUUGAUGAAGCUCUUAUUGGCACUAUAAAUUAGUUUUGCUUCACACUGUCUUGAUCAAGAGUGUGUGAAGCUUUUAAGAAUUGUGGUUGCCCUUGAUUGAUGAAGCUCUUGUUGGCACCAUAAAUUGGUUUUGCUUCACACUGUCUUGAUCAAGAAUGUGUGAAGCUUUUGAGAAUUGUGGUUGAACUCCUUUGAUGAAGCUCUUGUUGGCACCAUAAAUUGGUUUUGCUUCACAUUAUCUUGAUCAAGAGUGUGUGAAGCUUUUGAGAAUUGUGGUUGAACUCUUUUG